CCGGGAGGGGCCGCUGCUGGCGGGACACAUCAGCCCCACAGCCCCCGACACCCUGGGCUGUUACCCCUUUUACAAAUCGGACCCUUUCAUCCUCACCGACUGCCCUCACGUCUACUUCUGCGGCAACGCUCCCCGCUUCCAGUCCAAGCUGCUCAAAGGGGAGGGUGGGCAGCAGGUCCUGCUGGUGACAGUGCCUGCCUUCAGCACCACGCAGACCGCCUGCCUCAUCAACCUGCGCAACCUCAACUGCCAGCCCAUCACCUUCUCCGGCUUCGGGGCCGAGGAUGAUGACGGGGACAUGGAGGUCGGGCACUGACUGAGCAGGCAGAGCAUGGACUCACUAAACCCCCGGCCUCUUGGAGGGUCGUGGCACCCAACACCUUCCUGUCAUCCUUGUCCGCCCUCCUGGGAGGGCGGCACGAAGCUGCUGUGGGCGCGGGAAAGACGAGA
Molecule: RNA transcript, 450 nt
Organism: Egretta garzetta (little egret)
Lineage: Eukaryota; Metazoa; Chordata; Aves; Pelecaniformes; Ardeidae
Gene name: DNA polymerase delta 2, accessory subunit
Exons: 3
Source: RefSeq, a predicted model, not a curated record